AUUGAACGCUGGCGGCAUGCUUUACACAUGCAAGUCGAACGGCAGCGGGGAGGAGCUUGCUUCUCUGCCGGCGAGUGGCGAACGGGUGAGUAAUGCAUCGGAACGUGUCGAGAAGAGGGGGAUAACCACCCGAAAGGGUGGCUAAUACCGCAUAAAUUCUGAGGAAGAAAGCUGGGGACCUAGGAAUAGGCCUAGCGCUUUUUGAGCGGCCGAUGUCGGAUUAGCUAGUUGGUGAGGUAAAGGCUCACCAAGGCGAAGAUCUGUAGCGGGUCUGAGAGGAUGAUCCGCCACACUGGGACUGAGACACGGCCCAGACUCCUACGGGAGGCAGCAGUGGGGAAUUUUGGACAAUGGGGGCAACCCUGAUCCAGCCAUGCCGCGUGUAUGAAGAAGGCCUUAGGGUUGUAAAGUACUUUUGUUAGGGAAGAAAAGUCAGCUGUGAAUAAUGGCUGAUACUGACGGUACCUAAAGAAUAAGCACCGGCUAACUACGUG
RNAcentral lists this ribosomal RNA (494 nucleotides) under uncultured bacterium. Its description in RNAcentral is "partial 16S ribosomal RNA". It matches the Rfam family "Bacterial small subunit ribosomal RNA", at positions 30 to 507 of the family's 1533-position model. The record is from RNAcentral.